UGCCAGAGUGGGAAGUCAUGACACUUUCUCCUGACUUCCUAGGAAGCACCCAGAGGCUGCCAUGCUCAUGCACAGAAGCCGCACAGAAGCCGCUGUGCACCAGCCCCUCCUGGAGGGCGAGGCUUUGCUCCCAUCAUUUACUGCCAGGGCGGGGCCCGCUGGGAUUCCUGGUUCCACUGGGGAGCUGAGUGACACUGAGGCCUUAAGCUCCCCCAGUCUUGCCCCCAAACGCAGUCACCAGCAAGCUCUCCACAUCCAAGUCCAAGGGCACUAUUGUUGAUGACCAUGGUGACGAGAGCAAAGCCCUGGGGAGUGAACAGUCCCAGCUCUGCAUUCAGUUAAGCACUCUUCACAUGGACAAUGUCCUUGAUCUGUCACUGUCUUUUAAGUGGCUUUUAUUUUGCACAAAUACAUCUUUAUUCAAAACAAAGAAUAAAAGUUAGCUUUAUUUAUGGUAGCUUUAUCCCAUAGCUUCUCUCCCUCCCUCCCUCUCUAAUCUGGGUGUCCGAAUUCUGAGAAGGAAACCCUGAAAGGGUUUUCUGAAUUCCUGGGUCUUUGUUGCUGUCAUGGUUUCCGAGCUCACACUGAUCAGACAUCAAACCACCCUUAAGAGUUUCUGGGCAAGAUGCUUCAAAGCAACAUCUUCACCAGGAAAGUGUGAUAGGUGAAUUUUAAAACUACCAAAGGACCCACCACUGUAUUUUGAUCAAACGGUGACAACUUUCCUGAAAAUUCCAAUGAAUUGGUGAGGAAAGUAGUUGCCGUCAGGGUCUUAUUUUAUGGUCGAGGCUUAAUGUGCUCAGCAACUAACCCUCCAAAGGAGCAAAGCCUAGAAUACUUUUGUGCCAGGAGAAGCUCCAGGUGAUAUAGUUGGUGCCAUCCAAUCUUGGCCGUGAGUGCUCUGCACACCCAUGCACAGCUGGGGGGCCAGAUGCUUGCACCCAGUUCACACCAAUGACUACUCAAAUGGGCAUCCAGAGGCCGAAGGAAAACACCAAACACUCCCAACACCUCUCACCAGAACCACUCAGUGUUAACGCUUUAACCUACACUGAUCUGAUUCUACCUGUUAAUAUUUUUUGAAGUCUUAAGUUUGGAGGAUAGCGCAAGACUGGAAAAUCAGCUACUUAUUUUCCUUGGGUUUCUCCACUUCUCAACUGUCCUGGCUCUUCUCGCAUGAAAUACUAUAGAUGCCAAUCCAAGAACCUCAGAAUUUCAAGCUCCCUUCAGUCAGCGCAUUUUCUGCCCUUUACACAUUUUUCUUAUCUUUCGCAAAAAUUUUCUUCUGAGCUGAAUUUGAGAUAGCACAAUUGCAAUUCUUUUCAAAAUGCAAAAUGUUUAGUCUUCUCACUGAUUGAGACUGAUCCCACAUCCCCUCCUAGAAACAUUCUUAGCUUGGACUCUUGAAGAAUCUGCUUAGACCUUGUUGGCAAAGGCCUUUAGAGCUGGUAAGAACCUCGAAUGUACCGGAAGGGUCCUGGAGACAGGCCGAAAGAUGCUGGGCUCUCCCAGCCAGGACGGGGGGCCAGGCAUUUAAGUGCUGAUUAUCUUCCCGCCAUUGGUUUGUCCCUCAAACAGCGGGUGAGGAGGCCCUCAGGCUGGCACAGAGGAGGCCAGGUACAAACCCUAAAAGGGAGAAGUCCAUGGGUGGAUCCUCACCCUGGAGGGAAGCAUUUCUGGUUUUUGCGCUUUGACUGUCCAUAAUGCACCAAUGUUUGUGAAACCAUCAAAGGUGAUACGUCUUGCAUGCAUAUGCUGGUGGUUGGUUUUUCGUUUUUUGUUUUUUUUUUUUCUUUUGAGCAAACAGAUAAUGGUGCCCCAAAAUGAAAAUUAUAGAAUGCUGUCUACAAAAUCGUGGAAUAGGUAGUUGGUAUCAUUAUGAUGCCCCAAGAGCCUCAUGCACCUCUCCCUGGGAAUAAUUUUUGCCCCUCUCAGUUGGAACAUGUUUUAUAACUCAAGGUCAGCCAAAUGCAUUCUGACAACUGAAAUGCUUCAUGGAGGAUUGAUUCAGUGGGGAGCAGUAGAAAUAGUGUUCUGAGUGUGCCAGUGAGAGAGUGCAGCCCCCCUUUCCUUCCCUGAAGACACCCAUUCAUCACCCUGUCUCGCCAUGGAACCUAAACAGGAAGAUACUUGAAGCCAUUCUGUUUAGGAAAGAACCCACUCUCUCUUGCCAACUGAAUUUAUAAAGUAUUUUUUUUCCUUACCAAGAUGGCCAGUAUUUCUUUCAUGAUCUUCCUCUGCCACCUGCGAGCCCAAGACAUGUAUCUUUUAGGAUACCAUUUUACAAGUGGAAAACGACCCAUGAAAAUGGGAAGCCUUUCGCAAGCGGGUCUGAUUUCAUUCCACAGGCUUUACCCAGGAUAUACUGUAAAUGGCUGAGGACAAGCAGAGCUGAUCCUUGCCCUCAUGGAGCUGACCACACUCAACGAACAAAUAAUCCUCACCAUGGCAUCUCCUCCGGCAAGACCCUGCCUCUCUCCUAACACUGGGUAGAAACCCUGUGCACAUUCCUCCGGAAACGUUUCAAAACACUCCCCAGACUGAAUAGCCUCUUGAUCGGUGAGUUCAGUUGCAAGGAGAACUAGAUGCAGUCGCUGUCUUAGAGGCUGGUUGUCGCAGAACACCCAGGCACAGAGCUUUGGUCGGGCAUGCUGCGGAGGACUCUGAGAUGGAAUGAGAGAGUAGGGUCAGAAUGUUCACAGUAUUUACUCCAGAGGCUUUUUUAGUUUUAAUUUCAGUGUUAAAUGCAAGUACAGCAUGAGCGAGAGCUACAUUUUCAUGGGUGUUGAGAACUUGUACCAUGGACCACCUCAGAGUCCUGUGCUGCACAAGGGUGGGUACACUGGGGGCAGCCCCCAAAUCCCUGUUUGCAGCAGCAACGGGAAGGAUCAUCUGUCCGUUCUAUAAUCGUUCUUCUCUUUACCUAUUUCUGAACGACUGUGACCAUUCAGUAAUGAAAUAUUAGUAAUUAAUUUAUUAGUAUGGUAUAAUCUUUAAUAAAUUUCGUGCCAAAAUGCAUGGUUUUUCACUUAGCAUUCAAAAUGUUGCGUAGAGAGUAGUUUUCAAUUUCUUAUGUAUUCCUCAAAGUAAGUUGAAAAUCAGUUUCUACAUUUUAAUUUGUUUCUUGUUAAAUCUGUUGCACUCUCCUGGGCUGUCUUUUUUUUCCAGCAGACCCCCCCCCCCCCGCAUGCAGUUGUGUGAGGACUUUCUCUAAUUCUUGUGAAUUGUCUCACCCACAAUAACCACUGAACAUCAGCCCUCAGUGGGAUUCUUUAGAUUUUUGGUGAAGUAUUUUGUUACCUCAGUCUUGUAUCAAGUUGCUGUAUUUUUCAGCUUGUUACACUGAUAAUUGUUUCACUAAUUAAAUACUUUAAUGUACAAACAUCUUUGUUUACUUUGAAAUUAAAUGUGUUUUCCAAUGAA
Leptonychotes weddellii (Weddell seal) is the source of this 3423-nucleotide non-coding RNA. The record is from RefSeq and is a predicted model, not a curated record. NCBI's taxonomy places the organism in Eukaryota, Metazoa, Chordata, Mammalia, Carnivora, Phocidae.